GACGAACGCUGGCGGCGUGCUUAACACAUGCAAGUCGAACGGAAAGGCCCUGCUUUUGUGGGGUGCUCGAGUGGCGAACGGGUGAGUAACACGUGAGUAACCUGCCCUUGACUUUGGGAUAACUUCAGGAAACUGGGGCUAAUACCGGAUAGGAGCUCCUGCUGCAUGGUGGGGGUUGGAAAGUUUCGGCGGUUGGGGAUGUACUCGCGGCUUAUCAGCUUGUUGGUGGGGUAGUGGCUUACCAAGGCUUUGACGGGUAGCCGGCCUGAGAGGGUGACCGGCCACAUUGGGACUGAGAUACGGCCCAGACUACUACGGGAGGCAGCAGUGGGGAAUAUUGCACAAUGGGCGGAAGCCUGAUGCAGCAACGCCGCGUGCGGGAUGACGGCCUUCGGGUUGUAAACCGCUUUCGCCUGUGACGAAGCGUGAGUGACGGUAAUGGGUAAAGAAGCACCGGCUAACUACGUG
This 468-nucleotide ribosomal RNA is filed under the name uncultured bacterium. RNAcentral describes it as "partial 16S ribosomal RNA". It matches the Rfam family "Bacterial small subunit ribosomal RNA", at positions 28 to 507 of the family's 1533-position model. The record is from RNAcentral.